RNAcentral lists this ribosomal RNA (253 nucleotides) under uncultured bacterium. RNAcentral's name for it is "partial 16S ribosomal RNA". It matches the Rfam family "Bacterial small subunit ribosomal RNA", at positions 524 to 776 of the family's 1533-position model. The record is from RNAcentral.
UACGUAGGGUGCGAGCGUUGUCCGGAAUUACUGGGCGUAAAGAGCUCGUAGGUGGUUUGUCGCGUUGUCCGUGAAAACUCACAACUCAAUUGUGGGCGUGCGGGCGAUACGGGCAGACUGGAGUACUGCAGGGGAGACUGGAAUUCCUGGUGUAGCGGUGGAAUGCGCAGAUAUCAGGAGGAACACCGGUGGCGAAGGCGGGUCUCUGGGCAGUAACUGACGCUGAGGAGCGAAAGCGUGGGGAGCGAACGGG